AGAAAUAGCUGAUUUUGUGUACUGUGCUCCUCUCAAGCCAGGAUAGCAGGCAGUGGUCAUCCUGAAAGAAAAAAGGUCCAGAGCUGGAAUUGUGGUUUUCACCAUCUUCCUAUUUCAAAUUCCCAUUUUCUGACACCGGUCUACAUGGGGCAGGACUGCUAAAGAUCUUUCUGGCCAAAUAACUUGUUUACAGAAGUUUCCCACACGCAAAUGCAUCUGGAUUUCCUCUGAACUGUCAUCAUCCUGCAGGGAUAUUCACUCUACCACCUCAUGGAAUUUUCUUUUCUCCUGACUGUAAGUUAAAUGGUCCUAAAUGUUGCCAGCAUUCAUGUCAGCCUCGUAUUUUGAAAACUUCAUAUCCCAUUGGGAACUCUGCAACCUCACCUUGACUUUAGAGGAUGAAAUCAAACCUUAGAUGUGAGCUGGUUCAGACCCGUCUGGGUGGCAGCUUUGCAUCUCAGGACGUUCUGAAAUGACAAAACACUGCUGAAUUGCUGAAAAAAAUGUGUUUGUUUAAUGUGGUUUAUAGGGAUUUACAACUUAGGUCAUGUCAGUAUGAGAAGGGCUGAAACCAUGUAUUCCUGAUCCAUUUCAAUUCAAAGCAAAAGGCAUUUAUUUAAGCAAAUCGCUACUGAUUUUCUCUGUACAAGAAAUACAUACGCAGUUAGGGAUCACUGCUUUGGAGAAGCAGAUGUAAUUUUCUUAAUUUCUCUUUUACUGCUGUUCAUGUGAUGGUAUAACCAAACCAAGAUUUGGUUCAGAUUAAUAUAGUAAUGUACUGAUACAAGCAUAACCAGCUUUAGCAUUGUUUAUGCCUUCUAAACACAUGUUCAUGAGGGGUUUAUAUUUCUAACCAGCCAAGCAUCUUAAAUGUAGGUAGAUUAGUGCAGAUUUUACAGUCCAGGCAAACUAUCCUGGUGCCAUACAAAUCAAGGCAAUUCUGCUCACCUUCACAGGCACUGUUGUGCAGUCACAAAGCAGUCACUAUCACAAUACUAAGGAAGCGUGUCCAUAGUCUAAAGGAUAUGGAUCUCUAAAAUGCAUUCCAUUUAGCUAUAUACCUGUAUUCACAGGUAUAUUUUUUACUUCUUCACCAAGUACUGUUCUCUUGUGAUCACACUGACAAACC
This is a long non-coding RNA of Cyanistes caeruleus (blue tit), 1129 nucleotides long. RefSeq lists it as uncharacterized. The record is from RefSeq and is a predicted model, not a curated record. NCBI's taxonomy places the organism in Eukaryota, Metazoa, Chordata, Aves, Passeriformes, Paridae.